UUUUUUUUACAUCGUCAUAUAAAAAACUGAUAACUUGAAAUGUGAAGUCUCAUUUUUAGGUGAUAUACAAUUGUAUUUUAGUAUAUGGUUUUGCUGCAUAAAAGCCUUGGAAACAUAUUUUAAAUUUUAAAACUGAUAACGUAAUUUAACUCAAACUGCUUCAAAUAGAAUAACAUUUAAUGAAUAAGAAGAGCAUUUGUAUGCAUAUACUGUGAACCUACAGAAGAAAACUUGAUCCCACAAAGAUAUAUGCACUAAAGAAAUGUAACAGAAGAAUACAUUAAGAAAAGUGAAUGUACUUCUGAAGGCUGCCAGUUUGAAGGGUGCCAGACUGAAAUGUUGGAGACUGAAGAUUUGUGUUUUUCCACAUAUCAGUUCUGCAAAUGAAUUUUGCUAAUCUGAAACACCAAGAAUGAUUGCCUUGUUUUUUCCAGAAAACUUUUCCCAACUUCUAAGGAAAAAGAUCUUGUAUGUACAGCAUGAGCAACGUCAGAAGAAGCCUCCUUGUACAGAUCUGCCAAUAUAUCUUAACCCUGUUGUGAAGGACCCACUCCUAGAGAUGAAGUGGUAGCUUAAUCUUCAUAGAUUGGCCUUUCGCAUCUUUGCUCUGAUAGAAAAACAGUAAUGCUCCUCUAGUCAGUUGUGAUGUUGGUUUUGUAACAUGGAUAUUUGUCCACUAGGCAAAGCACAGCAAAACGCCAUCAGAUACAAAGAAUUUUCCUCCUCCACUGAUAUGGCCCUGAUGUGAAUCAGUGACCUGGAAAUGAAAUGUCACACAGUUUAUUACCAGUUCCCUGAGCCUUCUAAUCCCACUAAGGAUCUAAUAAAAAUUAUUCCAAAACCUGUUGUUAAUUUGCCUUUUUCUUUAUAAUUAGCUCACUUGAUAUCAUUGACUGGGAUUUUUGGAUUUUCUCCUGCUUCGGCCACAAAGUGAUCACAGGAACUGGCAUAAGUUUCCAUCAGUACACCUCAUUUCCUGUAUUACAGAAUUGUCCAGGUGCAUUGAUUUUUUUCACCUUCCACCAUCAGCUACUGGCCACUGGAGAAGAUGAGUCAGGAUUUCAUUUUUCCAGUGGGCUUGUAAUGCUGAGAGCCUAUAGAUGUCUUUGGAACUGCAUAUUACCUGAUCCUGUAUUACUUUGUUACUGACGUGGUCAUAUGUUCCCGACUUCCACCAUACUCCAAUAGAGUAAUUCAGCUUUUUGCCUUUCUCUGACCAAGGUUGUGCAAGAUUACAUCCUGCAAUGUUAGCUGCACAGAUGUAUGAACAGUAUAUUACCCUUUCCUAUCAGCAGGUGGAGAGACAUAAAAUUGAGGAAGUCAUUCUUCAGACAUGAUUUCUCUUUUAAGAAGAAAGUAUCUAUUGCAGCAAUUUCCCUCAUACUUCAGCCUUUUUGCGACAUAUAUUGGAAAAAUGUUUCUCAUGAAGUCACUAAUAAUACUUACUUCAUUUAUUCAAUACAUUUUACAAAGACUAAUCCUCAGAACACCCCUCUGUUGUAGGUUGCUGACUCGCAUGUGAAUUUUUAUUGGAAGCUUGUCAGCAAUUUAUUUUCUUAUAGAAAGCAGAUCUGUUUAUAUCACCAAAUCUAUUAAGAAAAAGGGGGACAUUAAACUAGAGGUAUAACCUCUCUUGAUAAGCAAUGGUAGGACUAUCUUUAACAGCUCACUUUGAAUAUUAGAUGUGAAAUCCACUUCAGUCAUUUGGAAGCUGGUUCUUUUCCGGUCUUGGAUGAGCAUCAAAGCAGUUCCUCUGUUUUAUCAAUAAAUGGUGACUCAUGCUUUUCAUAGGCUUCCAUAGUGCCCUUCUAACUGUAAAGAAAGAAGGAAGUACUGUCAGAUUUCUCCAAAAUGUUUUCCUAAUGAUCUUCAGCUAGAUGGAAGGUCGCUUUUCUCUGAGGCAAACUAAGCCUUCUCUCUAUACAAUAGUUUGCUCUCUACAAUCUAUGAAACUUGUCUUAUCUCACUAAAGACCACAAAUUAUUCUUCAAUUUAUAUAGACUUCUAUUUAAUAAAAAAUAUUUGAGCCAAAUUCUGUUUUCUGUGUGUGGAAAUAGAAGACAUUUGACAAAUAUGUAUCUUGAUGUGCAGUCCAUUCGGAUUGCAUGUAAAAGUCCAUAUUCUCAUGCCAAGAGAAUGCAUCAUCUUAAUUCACAUUUGCUAUAGGUGGGGUAUAGAAAAGUGCAGAAAUGCCUUAAGGGCACAAGAAUUCAUCCUGCAGAACUUCUAAGCUCUGCAAGACAGUGCUGUAUAAAAGCUGUGAAAGUAUCAUUUCCAUUACAGCAUCUUGUUUUUAACAUGGGAAGAAUGUCCUUUCAAAGCAUUUUGAAGUCUCCUUCCUCUGAGGUUGUGAAACUUUUUUUUUUGAGUCUCGGAUAAGGCACAGUGUUUUCUCAUUUGAAUGCUAGAGGGCACUAUGGGUACACAAGUGAAACUGCCAAAAAUUGGAAGUAAUAUGCUGUCAUUUCAAACUUUUCCUGCUCAUACAAAUAUUUGCAGUUCUUGCAGAAGAUCGUGUCCAUCGCUACCAGAGCAACAGAAAUUCUAUUUUUGUGAAUGGACACUGGUUACACCUGCUUGUAUUUAGCAACAGAGGGUCCUGUGGCACCUUUAAGACUAACAGAAGUAU
Long non-coding RNA from Terrapene triunguis (Three-toed box turtle), 2629 nucleotides. RefSeq lists it as uncharacterized. The transcript is spliced from 5 exons. The record is from RefSeq and is a predicted model, not a curated record. NCBI's taxonomy places the organism in Eukaryota, Metazoa, Chordata, Testudines, Emydidae.